This 74-nucleotide transfer RNA is filed under the name Caldifarciminota bacterium JGI_Cruoil_03_44_89. RNAcentral describes it as "tRNA-Pro". It matches the Rfam family "tRNA". From Rfam's summary of the family: Transfer RNA (tRNA) molecules are approximately 80 nucleotides in length. Their secondary structure includes four short double-helical elements and three loops (D, anti-codon, and T loops). Further hydrogen bonds mediate the characteristic L-shaped molecular structure. tRNAs have two regions of fundamental functional importance: the anti-codon, which is responsible for specific mRNA codon recognition, and the 3' end, to which the tRNAs corresponding amino acid is attached (by aminoacyl-tRNA synthetases). tRNAs cope with the degeneracy of the genetic code in two manners: having more than one tRNA (with a specific anti-codon) for a particular amino acid; and 'wobble' base-pairing, i.e. permitting non-standard base-pairing at the 3rd anti-codon position. The record is from RNAcentral. Lineage: Bacteria; Pseudomonadati; Caldifarciminota.
CGGGGGGUGGCGCAGUUUGGCAGCGCGCCUGGUUUGGGACCAGGAGGUCGCCGGUUCAAACCCGGCUCCCCCGA